ACUCGACAGUUAAGGGUGGCUUCUCGAAGUAUCAGGAGGACAUCGGAUAUAGGGAAUUAGCUAGUAUGUCAGAUAACUAGGAUGUAUGUAUACUAUGUAUACUAGAAGUAUAGGAAUAGAUUCUCUUUCUAUUUUGUUUCCACUUAGCUUACAUCCUAGCCACGCCUGACAUACGUACAUCUAUACAACCGGUAUAGAUGUAUAGAUAGAUAGAUUAGCAGAAGUGGAAAACGUGAGAACUCAUAAUUAAAAAGUACUAUUAGUAUAGGUAUAGAUAGAUAGAUUAGCACCAUACCAUUUCUGUCACGUUUUCCAUCCAUCUCCCUCAUUUUCCGUCUUCUUCCUUCUCUCUUCCUCAAGAAAUGGCACCACCCGCACCUGUUGUGACGGCAGCGGCAGACAUCCCCACCGGUGUGGCCGCCCUUGCCUCCGCCGGACGACGACAACCUCAUCCAGGAGAUCCUCCUCCACCUCCCCUCACAGCUGUCGACCAUUCGGCCCUCGCGCCUCCCUCGUCUGCAAGCAGUUGCGCCGCCUCGUCUCCCGGAUUCCUUCGCCGCUUCUGAGCCCACCACCGGGAUUCUUUCCUCCUCGGCGUUUUCAAGAACGAGCUCUGCUACCCCAUCUUCAGAUCCGUCCUCGAUCGCGAGAUCUUAUCUCGCUCAACCAUUUCGCCCUGCGGCUCAACGGCGACCACGUCGCAAGCCUCCUCGGUUGCCACCACAGCAUCUUCUCAUCUUCAACUACAACACCCGUGAGUUCCUCGUGUGGAAUCUCGUUCGGCAAUCGCCAUAGCCGUUCCGUCGAAGCUCACCAGGGAGGGGUGGAGGGAGAAAUUCGUCAUGAACGGCGUGAUGCUUUGUGUUGCUGCUGUCAUCGGCGACGGCAGCCAUGUGCACGGCAGCGGCUUCUAGUCCUGCCGCUUCAAGGUGGUCUCUUGAUCCCGCACCCGCCGCCGCCAUCUUCGCACCUACUGUUACAGCCCCAGGUGCAGUUGGCGCCACCGGUCGUGGGGAAGAGAGAAGGAAGAAGACAGAUUGAUAGAAAACGUAACAGGAGUGGCACUGUCCCAAUUUUAUAAAAGUCCAGUGACAUUCAUCUAAAUAGCUGCAUAUACCAUGGCACGGACCUAAUUGUUUUUUUAAAAAAAAACGGAGCAAUGGCCUAAGUUCACAGAUGGCCCACACAGGCCCAUGUUCAUACAUGGCCCACGCUGGCCCAUGUGGCGCUGCGUGGAACAGUUGGCCCAAUUUCCAUCCCCAUCCGUGUCAAUAUCGAUACACCCUUCGCGGCGGCGGCGGCGGCGGAACGACGGCGACCGGCGGUCGAGCCGAUCGAAAGCAUCACCACGAUGAUGGCCGCAUCGAGAACGGCGUUCGCCUCCGGCGACCUACUUCUACUCACUGUCUCCUCCUCGGCGUCAAUCCUCACCCUGGCAAAAACCCAAGGGGCAGAAGCGGAGGGAGGAAGUUGCACUUUGAGGUAAACAGAAGAGUUGUAAUGGAGCUUUUCAGGUUGUAUUGAUUGCAAGGAGAAGACCUCUGUCACAGACUUACAUUCUCCAUCGGAAUCAUUAUGGUAAUACCUGAAGAGUACAGCCCUGCAGGAGCAAUUCUUUAAGCAGGCUUGCUUGCAGUCAUCUCUACUUUUUGCAUUGGUUAUAAUGCUGCCAUCAAAGUAAUAAACAUCAGUAAGAGUUAAGAAUU
Oryza sativa Japonica Group (Japanese rice) is the source of this 1706-nucleotide non-coding RNA. The record is from RefSeq and is a predicted model, not a curated record. Lineage: Eukaryota; Viridiplantae; Streptophyta; Magnoliopsida; Poales; Poaceae.